UCGAUCACAUUUGUAGCUCCUGGAAAUCUUUCCUGAUUACAGCUUUACAUUUCUCUUAUUGGCUGGAUAUGCACUGCUACAGUGACAGCUUCUCAACAUUCAAACUGAACACAAACACUGACGGUUGUCUCUGCCAGCUGCUUGUCAUUUAUCUACACAUAUAGGCUAUAAAUAGGACGAUCUAAGUAAUUGGAUUUUUCCGAAAAGGGAGACGAAAUUGUCUUUCCUGUCUACGGGCUGUUCACUGUUCAAGAUAACUACAGCAGUUCAUUUUAUUUGAAAGCAAAGGACAACUGAAAAAAAUGUUGCCUCUGAAUUUGUAGAAAUAGGAGUUGUGAAGUGUUCAAUACACGCAUUCAGGGCCAUGUGACAGACGCGGCUUCCGGCAAAGUUCGUCCUCUUCAUGGAAGAUCACUGAUGGCAAGGUCUGAACAUUCACUUCUUGAAAAACAAAGAGAGACGAUUGACACUCACUGACUGGAAGUUGCUGGAGCUGCUAAUAUGGUCAAGCGGAAGAAGGGGGCGGGAGGUGGUGGAGAAGAUUCUGGCGGUGGUGGCCGGGUCAAAGUUUAUCUCCAUGCCGUGACUAAUGAUGAGGCUGCUCGUCUAACAGACAAUGGAAACACACGCCCCCUUCAAGAAGUCAAAAAGCAGUCACGUGCUUCUGAAGUACAGUUCUAUCAAAAUCAAUCUGUAACGGACAUGAAGAUUAUCAUCAUCCGGGGCACUCCACAACAAAUCGAGAAUGCUGUCAGCCUCAUCAAUCAGAAAACUGGUUCUAAGGAAACCAUUUCAGAUCAAGCACAGAAAUUCUGGCUCCAGUGGGUUCAGGAAGCCUUCCCUGAUCUCGACUCUCGCGCCUACUUCCUGCCUCCUGUCUACUUCAACCGCGUGCCCAUGACCCCAGGGUCAGUUGGUGGUCAGGAUGUUCUGAUCCUUAACACACAACACGGACAGUCUAGUAAGUCAAACCAGCCAACACCACAUGAAGGAGUCGGAGGGUCCAGCGAGCAGGAACUGCCUAGACAUGCAUGUGUGGACAUUCAGCCAAGUCCACCUGAUGACGAAUAUCAGGACACCCAACCUACUUUACCUGGACAAACCAGUCAAUGUAUCCAACCAACACCAGCUGAAGAGUCUCGCAUUUCCAGCCACAGAACACCACCUGGACACUUCAGCCAGGUUAGCCAGCUGGCACCAGAUCACAAGGCUGGGUGUUCAAACUAUAUGGCACCACAAGAACAGGCCGGUAACCACAUCCUAGAGGCUUCACCAAGACAGUGCAUUCAACUGACACUACCUGGAGAAGUCAGUCACUACAAUGAGAAAUCGAAUAAACAUAACGAUCAAUUCAUUCAGACACCUACUGGACAGGAUCAUCAAUACAUUCAAACGUCACAACCUAAACAGACAGGUCAGUACAAUCAGCUGACACAACCUGGAAAAACAGAUCAGCACAUUCAAUCGGGCCAACCUGUACAUACCAGUCAGUACGAGCAGACAAAAUCAAAUAAACAAGGCGGUCAAUAUCUCCAGAGUUAUCCAUCUGGAAUGACUGGUCAGUUUAGCCAGACAAUGAAAUCAGUACAAUAUAUUCAUGACAUACAGGAGACAUCACUCGGACUAACAAGUCAAUACAAGCCGACAUUACUUGGACAGGGUCAGUACAACAAUGUACCUCAUGCGCACGCCUAUCAGUAUAGCCAGACGACAUCAAUUGGACAAGCAGGUCAGUACAUGCAUCGGACACCACGUGGGGAGACCUAUCAACAUAGCCAGACGAUACAAUGUGGACUGACAUCUCAGUAUAUGCUGACGACACCACCAAGACCGGCAGACCAGGAUGUUCUGUCGCCACCUGGACUGACCGGUGACUACAUCCAGACACCACCUGAACCAACAGGUCACGACAUCCAGACAAAAGCACAUGGACAAUCAGGUGAAUGCAUCUUUCCGACUCCACAUGAGCAGACAUCUCAGCGCAUUGAACUUGAAGCUGCUUCUUCCGAUGUCGUUCAGCCUUCAGCCCAUCGGCCUGCUAAAGUUCUAGACAGUGACGUCAGAGAUGAUGAAGCCAAGCAACGAGUUCUCGUCUGCCUGCAGGAAUUUUCUGAACGGAAUAAAGAAGUUUUGUUUGGGAUGAGUAAGCUUGCCUUCGGGGAUUAUCUCGGGGAACCUGUUUACGCUGCUGCGGCUGCUCAGCUCCCUCCACGCGCCAACCUUCCUUCUGCUCUGCCUCGGAACUGGAAACAGGGAGACUUUGAUGUGCUUCUUAUUCACCGACAUUACGGAUUCGUGGUGUGCAAGGUGAGAGCUUUUGGUGACAUUACUCAGGCACUGAACAUGUCACAGCAGGAUAUAGAAAAUAACAUUAGAGAGAAACUGAGAGACGCCGUGUCACAGCUGGACAAGGCGGAGGCCAUGUUGUCUCACCUGGUGUCCGACAUCGCUUCCGGUCUGCGCAUCACUAAGACCAUCGCUUUCCCCAACCUCACGGCUAGUCAGGUGCAACAGGCCAUCUGUGAAGACAUCCCUCUGACUGAGGACCUGUGUCGGUGUCUGGGAACAUCAGACCCCGCCGACAUCACUGGUCUGUGUCUGUGCUGUGAUCAGUUGUCUGACCCCAAGACCCCGUGUGACGUCAGUAGUCACGUGCUGAGGGAACUCGGACACUGGUGGCAGCGACGUGUGGCUGUGGCUGGACCUGACAGUCACAUGACUGAUGUGGUCUACAAGAUGUUAGUAGCGAGGAAACACAUCAAGACCUUCUGUGAGAAGUUGCUGGCACAGGUUCCUCGUCUUCAUCUGUGGGCGGCAAGUUGUUACAAUAAGAACUGCCCCCCCAGCUGGCAAGUGGAACAUUUAACCAGACCUCUCCGCUCUCCACCCGCCGUCGUCAGGGAAAUCAAGAAAGAUUCAGUUAUCAUUAAGGGUGUUAGUAUUCAGAAAUACAGUGAGCGAGGUGUGCCCGACCACACAGACGGCCCGCCAGUCACACGACUGUAUCACCGAGGUCAGGAUCACUCAGUGUACUGGCCAGAUGACUGUAUCACGUGCGGUCGUGAGGUGGCCAAGUUCCUACACAGUCUCCGUGUUGGUGUUACAGAGAAUAAUGAGCUGACAACAGUAAACACCGUCACUUCAACAACUGGCGGCACAACACCCUGUCUACAGUGGAGAGACGUGCUGGUGUUGAACUGGUAUAUCGUUUUUGAUCAGUCGGGUGUUGUCACAGGACUGCGAGAAGCGGGUAUCCCAGUGCGGGUGAUGAAGGAUGAUGACAUCGAGGACGUGGCCACGGCCCGCAGUGACGUGGUGUGGGUGGCGGAUGGACAUCAUGUUCGUGGUCUGGAGAGAAAAGUCGUCGUGUGUUUGGUGUCCCAUUAUGGUUCAAGAUCUAAUGUUAGUCAUGCAUCUGGCGGCUUCCACUCCAUAUCCCGGUGUACAUCACAACUGGUGACUGUGGAGUAGACACUAGCUACCUGAACAUGCUUCACACUCCCUCACCUGUCACCUGUAGCAGUCUGAUGUCUGUCUCCAUUACACCAACAUCUAUAAUCAGUUGUAACAUUGUAACAUUCUGCUUUAGUGUGCGGGCUACUGUACUCUGCUAAACGACUAUAUGAACAGCUUGUAUCGUGGAAUUAGAUGCAUAUUCUCGAAAAUGAAGUACAAGCUACUUUUUUAAAUACAUAAAAUACAGAAAUACUAGAAUAGCAUUGUUGUGUUCUAUUAGCGAAAAAUUGUAAAUGAUUUUAGACAUGCUUUUUAAAUCAGAUAUUUACCGUUUACCUUUAAAUAGGUGAAUAUUGAUAAUGCUACAGUACCUUUUGUCAUGACAUAAAAUAUACCCUAGUAAAGAGACUUAGGAAAAUUAGACUACAUGAAUACAAGUACAUAAGACUAAUACAUCAACCAAUCAGACUGAAGUGCUAUGAUCAGCUCACGGUUCCAGUAAAUUCUACAGACUCAAUCCACCACUCUCGAGUCUGGCAUCAUGGCGAGGCGGGAAAUGUUGAGAUUCCAUUUGUGUAAUGAACGAUACAAAGAACCUACGGACAGCAGAGCCACCAAUCCACAGACAGUUUACAAUAUGCGCAUGUUUAAAAAUCUGCCAAUGAAAGUGUUGAUGCAUGUUCUAAUGGGAUGGCAAUACAGUACCCGAGUCUGUAUAAUGGUAUCUCUGUAUGCCACACCUGUCCGGUUCCCUUGUACCAGGUAGAUAGGAGUGAGGUAGGUCGUCCCCAUUCCAGCCCACACCAUGAUGGACCCACCCCUAUAAUCAUUACACUCCGCGACAGUUAGAGUGUGCUAACGGUCUCCAUGUCAUCUCCAGACGUGGAUUUGGCAAUUGUGGCAAAGGUCUGGCAAAGCGACAUUCAUGAGUGAAGAGGAGUGAGGUCCACUGUGUCCGUGUCCAUGUCACGUGGUGUGGUGUCCAUGCAAGACGAGCAGCGCGGUGAGCAGAUGUCAGAUCAUCCUUUCCACAUGAUGUUUUGGUCAUCGCCGGAUGGUUUGAAGAUAACAGAGGAAUAUGUUGUAGCUCAUGUAUUUUGGGUGACGACAGAAAACAUCGGGCUCUUUCUACAAGAACCUUUAGUUUACUAUUUAUUUUCGAUGGGGAGUGAACAACCAAGGUUGUCGUAGACAGGAGGCAGGAAGUAGGCGCGUGAGUCGAGCUCAGGGAAGGUGGCCUCAACCCACUGGAGCCAGAAUGUCUGUAAUCGUGCUGUGUUUGCCUGUAUCACACACAUUUAAAAUUUAUAUACGCAUUGUUUUCUGUAUUUUAUUCAUUUUUUAUGUAUUGUAUUUCGUUACUUUAUUUAGUCUACAAACACAGUUAAGCCCUAGGACUUUUUAUUUGCAAGACAUAUUCGUUAAACCGUUUCUAAUUCCGUUUUGAAGCAGUUUACAGUUCUUCGUUUAAAGUGGGGACAAGCAUGACUUCCAUGUCCACCUUUUCCACACACAUAUGCAGAUCACAGAGUGCAAAUAAACUAAAAUGAGCGAAUAUCGUAUUCAGGGGAUUCCGUUGUUUCCGGAAAAAUCCAAAGUUUACUAAAUUUGUGCUCCAUCGAUAACAGCUCGUGUAAAACAAGAAAGUGUGUAGUCACCACAUGGUGUUCAUCUCUGAUAGACAGUCCUUGUUGGUCAGUUGUUUGGUUUCUGGUGUUCGACGUAAGAUUGGUCAUGUGAUUUGUUUUCCUGUUAGUACCGACUACUCAGUGCUACUUUCUGCUAAUCACUGCUUCACUCACCUGAUCACCAAUCUUCUGGUCAAUGAGUUUUGCUGCCGCCUCGAUUUGUGUUUGAUGACCAUGAACGAUGAUAAUCCUUCUACCUGAUACAGGUGGGGGGGGUUGAUGAUCCAUGACCACGUCAGCUCCGGUCCUUUCUUUAAUUUCUCCCGCAUAUAGCCAUUUUUUGUACAUCGUUAUUACUAGAAAAUAUGUUUGUACGUUUCUUCAAGUUAUGCCCCUUACCUAUUUUCCUUUCUUUUUAUUUCUUAAUAAUAAACAUUCGACUCCUGAGAUAGCCGAGAAAGAUUCAGGUAAGGGUGCAUCAGAAAGAAAAAAAAACAGAAAGCAAAAAUAAAAAGAAAAUGGAAAGAACGAAAGAAAGAAAGAGAACCGCGUGUCAAUAAAGUGCCCGUACAAUACUGAA
Molecule: unclassified non-coding RNA, 5664 nt
Filed under: Pomacea canaliculata
Lineage: Eukaryota; Metazoa; Mollusca; Gastropoda; Architaenioglossa; Ampullariidae
Description: uncharacterized LOC112574796, transcript variant X1
Source: RNAcentral